UACGGAGGGGGCGAGCGUUAUUCGGAAUCAUUGGGCGUAAAGGGCGCGUAGGCGGCACGGCAAGUCAGGAGUGAAAGGCCUGGGCUCAACCGAGGAACUGCUUUUGAGACUGCCGAGCUAGAGUGCAGAAGGGGCAACUGGAAUUCCCAGUGUAGCGGUGAAAUGCGUAGAUAUUGGGAAGAACACCUGAGGCGAAGGCGGCUUCCUGGACCGACACUGACGCUGAGGCGCGAAAGCUAGGGGAGCAAACGGG
Molecule: ribosomal RNA, 253 nt
Filed under: uncultured bacterium
Lineage: Bacteria
Description: partial 16S ribosomal RNA
Rfam family: Bacterial small subunit ribosomal RNA
Source: RNAcentral